RNAcentral lists this unclassified non-coding RNA (372 nucleotides) under Hevea brasiliensis (rubber tree). The record is from RNAcentral. Lineage: Eukaryota; Viridiplantae; Streptophyta; Magnoliopsida; Malpighiales; Euphorbiaceae.
AUAGUUGCUGAUAUUACUUUUGAAGCUAAAUACACAUCUGCUAAUCACUUAUGUCAUGUAAAACAAAUUAGAAGAGCCUAUCAUGUGCUAUAAUAACUCAAGAGGGAGAGUGGUGUUACAAAAACGUUAUUGCAUAGUUCAGAAAAUAUUCUCAUAUGUUUUAUAUGCAAAUUAAUGAGCAUAUUCAGUAAGUCAUCAAAACUUUUUGUUGUUUACGUUGGCUCUAUGUUUCUACAAUGGACCACGGACAUGCUCAUUUUCCAGUUGAAAGAGAACUUUUGAAUUGAGGUACCAUCAUAUAUGUGUGUGUUAUUAUAUGAACUCGAUUAGGAUAUUAUAUGAUCUACAUAUCUGUAUUUUACUAUGUGAUCA